Rhopalosiphum padi (bird cherry-oat aphid) is the source of this 233-nucleotide long non-coding RNA. RefSeq lists it as uncharacterized. The transcript has 3 exons. The record is from RefSeq and is a predicted model, not a curated record. NCBI's taxonomy places the organism in Eukaryota, Metazoa, Arthropoda, Insecta, Hemiptera, Aphididae.
UCAUUUAUUACUAUUUCAAAUUGCUAUAUAUUUUUCAAAUAAAAAUUUACGUACAAUUUACGUACGUUUUUAAAAAUAAUUAAUCCUUUUGUACCUAGUUGCCACGUAUGAAAUGAUGUCAAGAAAAAAAUCAUCUGAAAAGGAUACUAUAUCACGUGAAGAUUUAAUAAAAUUUAAGGAAGUAUAUAAUAAAGAAAUUCUCCAAUACUGCAAAACAAAUAAUAUAAAUAAUA